RNAcentral lists this microRNA (19 nucleotides) under Tribolium castaneum (red flour beetle). RNAcentral's name for it is "tca-miR-3809-5p". The record is from miRBase by way of RNAcentral. Lineage: Eukaryota; Metazoa; Arthropoda; Insecta; Coleoptera; Tenebrionidae.
AUCAUAACUUGCUCGCUGA